Molecule: long non-coding RNA, 1092 nt
Organism: Cygnus olor (mute swan)
Lineage: Eukaryota; Metazoa; Chordata; Aves; Anseriformes; Anatidae
Exons: 3
Source: RefSeq, a predicted model, not a curated record
ACAACAGGUAGGAGUGGAAAAUGAGAUUAAAAGCAAAUAACUAUUUUGCAAAUAACCAAAAGAAAAUUCUGAAGAUGAAGGUGUUGUUUUGUAGACAGCCCAUAGGACAUGAAAUGUGUUGUUUGAUUGCUAUUACUGUUUAGUUUCCACUUUUGGGUGUUUUGUGGAGAUGCUAGACAACCCGGCUGUACCCCAGAGAAAAGUAUUGUACAUUUUAGACACAUUUGUUGUUUUGAGCGUUCCUGUCGUUUGCUAGUGACUGAGAGGUGGCUGUAUGACUAGAAGGGGAAGAGAACAGAGUGGGAAGCCUGUUUUCCUAGUAUCUUACUAUUUGACCUACUUCACUAAACACAGAAGGAAGGCUCGCUACUAUUCUACCAGUUACCCUAUAUCUGACUAGAAAAUAAUGUUGAGUUUGGUUCCCAUACGUCACUGGUUUCUCCACAUGUGGACUCUAAACCAGAAUGCAUGUGUCUACCAGGUUUUGCAGGCUAGUGGAGUAAGUUGCUUGAGGCCUAGGCAGUAGUUGUAGAAGAAAGAAUGGUAUGGGAACCCAUGCUGAUUCUUUCCAACAGAAAAUUGACAUUAACUGAAGUAAUCUUACUGAUUCGUGGGUAAUCUCUUAGUGGUGUAGGAUAAUAGCAAAAGAGUGGAAGCUGGUAAAUCAAACCAGUGUACACAGUAAGCUUCCCAUAAGCUUUGGAAGAUGUUGUUUUUGAUGCAUUUGUUUCCAUUAAUCUCUUUCUUUUCCAUGCUUUACAGUUUAGCAGAUGCUCUUUAAUUAUUUCAUUCCUGCCUCUAAUCUGUAUUUGAAUCAGUGUAAUGAAUUUUCACUGCUCAGUUGUUCACCUCAAUUAAAGGAUGUGAAUUUACCACCACAAAGCCAAGUUUCAACAAGCUGCAGCAAUUAGAUUAUAGCUGCUGGUUGCAGUGUGGAAGUGUUUAAUGGAAUAGCCUUAUUCACCUUUGACCAAGGUCAUGCUGAUACCACGAAAUUAAUGAUUAAUUCUGAGCCAGUAAACCUUCCCGGCGUGAGGAACACCGAGCUGCAUGGCAUGGACACACCCAGGUGGGUUUGUAGGGGCUGGAUAA